CUAUUUAACCAUUUAUGGAGUCUCUACCAUACAAGAAGUACUGUGGCUGAAGCAGAGAGGUGGAGCAAGAUGGUGGAAUAGAAGGCACCACCGAUCGUCUCCCCGACAAAGACACCAAUUUAACAACUGUCUACACAGGGAAAUCACUUGUGUAAGAACCAACUCUCAGGUUAGCCCUCAUAGUAACAGGUUUUAUCUUCAUAUCUCUGAAAGUGGCACCGAAGAGAUAGAAAAACAUCUUGAACAGCCAGUGCUACCCCUCCCCACUCCACAGCAGCAGCAUGGUUCAGACAGCAUUUCUCUCUGCAGGGAGAACAAGAACAUAGUAAUUCUGAGGCAUUGAACUCAGUGCUUCCCUGUUUAACUGGACCAAACUCAGCUGCCUACCCAUGAAGGGAGUAUUUAAACCAGCCCUAGCCAGAGGGGAAUCGCUGAUUCCCGCAGUCUGAACUUGAAUUCCCACAAACCUCACUCCCAAGGACUAAACUGCUCUGGGUCUCUAAGUAAACUGAAAAGGCAGUCUUGGCCAUGAGGACUGCAACUCUUAGGCAAGUCCUAGUGCUGAACUGGGCCCAGAGACAGUGGACCUGGGGUGUGGAAGGCACAUGACAUACUGAGACACCAGCUGGGGUGGCUAAGGGAGUGGCGUCACCCCUCCCCUACCCCGGGCUGCACGGCUUGUGGCUCCAAAAGAGACUCCUUCCUUCUGCUUGAGGAGAGGAGAAAGAGGAGUGAGGACUUUGUCUUGCAUCUUGGAUAUCAGCUCAGCAACAGGAUAGGGAACCAGUCGGAGUUGUGAGGCCCCCAUUUCAGAUCCUAGUUCCUAGAUAACAUUUCUAGACACACCCUAGCCCAGAAGAGAAUCUGCAGCCCGCCCAGAAGAGGAUCUGCAGCCCUGAAGGGAAGGACCCAGUCUUGGCAGCAUUUAUCAACUGCUAACUGAAGAGCCCUUGGGGGCUAAAUAACAAGCAGUGAUACCCAAGUUCUACGUCAAGUGUCUUGAGUGAGCCUCUGAGACUUGCUGGCUUCAGGUGAGACUCAGCGGUUUAUCAGCUUUGGUGGCUACAGGGUGAAACUCCUUCUGCUUGAGAAAAGCAGAGAGAAAAGUAAAGGGGAGUUUAUCUUGCACCUUAGGUACCAGCACAGCCACAGUGAGGGAGAGCACCAAGGAGGCUCCUGGGGACCUCGAUUCCAGGGCUUAACUUGGAUGGCAUCUCUGCACCUACCCUGGGCCAGAAGGAAGCCCGUUGCCCUGAAGGAUUCUUCACUGUGGGAGACUACGGCUUUUGAAGAGUCAGCCAACCAGCUUGAGAGUGAAUAUAAUCACCCAUUUUCUAAAAUGAAAGAGGAGACUUGGGACCAGCCUCCGCUGUGUGGUACCGAGCAAGAGCAGCUGCAGACAUGCAGAGCUGGUUUUCAACUCAGGCGAGGCAGUGUAUCAGCUGUGUAACCCUAGCAAUUCCUUCAACCCCUCUGCAGCUGUCUCUCCCCCUGCAAAAUGUAACAAUUGCUGCUGUGCCCCCUUACGGGAUGCUGAAAAAAGUUAAGUAAGAUCAAAUGAGUUUGUAUCUGGAAAACAUCAUGAUGGGAGGUUGAACUUGGUGGUAUAAGGGUAGAAAAUUGUGAUAUCUUUCCUUCCCAUAGAAGGCGGACAGCUAACACUCUUAAAGCACAAGACAGGUUAACAAAAGAAAAGCAUAACAAAUCUAUUUAAUCAAAGUUGUGUGUGACACAAGAGCCUUCAGAAGUGAAGGUCUAAAGAUCCAGGGGAAACUGUUUUUAUGUUUAGGUUGGAUAAAGAACGGAUAGCCAUGUAGAACUGUGAUUGGACAGGUUAUGAUCUAAUGGUAAUAGACUGAAGGGGAAACCCCGCAAGACCUGUCUGUUCAGGUUCUUCUUGGUCUCUCUGCAUAGCAUUCCUUUCCUGUCCAGUAGAGGUUAGGACACCUGUUACAUGAAGGUCCUCAAGAGAGAAGGGACAAAGUUACCUUUCUAGGUUUUAUGACUUGCUUUGCGGAAGAAGACUUUUAGUUUCUAUGACCCAACUUGGUGAAGAAGAAUUCUGGUUUCUAUGACUCACUUUGCAGAGGGUAGUGGGGAAGACAGGAGAAUGGGAGGAGAUCAAGAUGUUGAAGAGAUCUUGUUUCUGAGGCAUGCAUGAACUCCUGGGCUCAAGUGAUCCUCCUGCCUCAGCCUCCCAAGUAGCUGGCACUAUAGGUGUGCCACCAUGCCCAGCUAAUUAAAACAAUUUUUAAAAAUUUUUUUGUCUGUGUUGCUUAGCCUGGUCUCAAACUCCUGGCCUCAAGCAAUCCUACUGCCUCAGCCUCCCAAAAUGCUGGGAUAUAGGUGUGAGCUACCAUACCUGGCCCAUUUCACUGUUCUUGAUCUAUAAAUGUCUGUUCUUCAGGUUAUAAUGUAUGCCUGAUUCAAUCCUUCACUGAUCAAUGAAUAAAAUAUUUAACAUGUAUUUAUCUAUCUAUCUAUCUAUCUAUAUAUAUAUGAAUGACAGUGAUAAUUUUAAUUUUCACAGAGGGUAAGUAAGACCCUGCCUGUUUCCUUCCAAAUUUCUUCAUGGUCCAAGUAUCUUUAUGUAAUCACAGAAGACUGAGGGAAUAAUGACACCAUUUCAGGAUUUAAAAAAUAAUUGUGAAACAUUCCUUGAAGAGACCUUCCUCCACAUAAAGACAGCAGCAUCAGCUGCUCAACAGACACCCCUUGGUGAACAAGAUAGAGGCUCUCCAGGCAAGUCACAAGCAAGACUGCAACUGCAGUCAGGUUCUGUGGUCAGCCACAGAGGGACCUAAGGCAGCAGCAGUGGCUCAAGGAGAGCUGCAUCUACAGCUGAAGCUGAAGGAUUCUGAUGGACAUCAGACCUAGCUAUGGACAGAGGGGUAACCUGAAGAACUGAGGAAUGCAUGAGUCUGAGCCAAGGGGGCCUCAAGCCUACAGAUCUUUCUUGUCAUUAUUAAUGGCAUCCACAUUCUUUGAAUAUCCUCCUUAAGGCAGAUGUGGGGCUGAGGGGAAUUAAGAAUUAGGUUACUGUGUACUAUAUUCAAGAAGUUCUUAUUGUCAACUUAAAUAAAGACAGAGAAAAUUAUGUCUGAAUAUGUUGCGUUUACUCAGGAUUAUAAUCUGGAAUGCACAGAAUGGCAAGCCACCAGCCUGUUUGGUGAGAGAAGG
Molecule: long non-coding RNA, 3180 nt
Filed under: Homo sapiens (human)
Lineage: Eukaryota; Metazoa; Chordata; Mammalia; Primates; Hominidae
Description: HSALNT0063141
Source: RNAcentral